CCCAGACUCCUACGGGAGGCAGCAGUGAGGAAUAUUGGUCAAUGGGCGGAAGCCUGAACCAGCCAAGUCGCGUGAGGGACUAAGGCCCUACGGGUCGUAAACCUCUUUUGCCGGGGAUCAGUGCCCAGCUCGCGAGCUGGGAGGGAGCGUACCCGGAGAAAAAGCAUCGGCUAACUCCGUGCCAGCAGCCGCGGUAAUACGGAGGAUGCGAGCGUUAUCCGGAUUUAUUGGGUUUAAAGGGUGCGUAGGCGGUAUUUUAAGUUAGUGGUAAAACGUCGGGGCUUCACCUUGAUUGGCCAUUAAAACUGGAGUACUAGAGUACAGACGAGGUAGGCGGAAUAAGUUAAGUAGCGGUGAAAUGCUUAGAUAUAACUUAGAACCCCGAUAGCGAAGGCAGCUUACCAGACUGUUACUGACGCUGAAGCACGAGAGCGUGGGUAGCGAACAGGAUUAGAUACCCCAGUAC
RNAcentral lists this ribosomal RNA (466 nucleotides) under uncultured bacterium. RNAcentral describes it as "bacterial SSU rRNA". It matches the Rfam family "Bacterial small subunit ribosomal RNA", at positions 330 to 793 of the family's 1533-position model. The record is from RNAcentral.